RNAcentral lists this ribosomal RNA (301 nucleotides) under uncultured bacterium. Its description in RNAcentral is "partial 16S ribosomal RNA". It matches the Rfam family "Bacterial small subunit ribosomal RNA", at positions 509 to 807 of the family's 1533-position model. The record is from RNAcentral.
CAGCCGCCGCGGGAAUACGAAGGGGGCUAGCGUUGCUCGGAAUGACUGGGCGUAAAGGGCGCGUAGGCGGUGGCCAAAGUCAGGCGUGAAAUUCCUGGGCUCAACCUGGGGGCUGCGCUUGAUACUUGGUUGCUUGAGUGGGGAAGAGGGUCGUGGAAUUCCCAGUGUAGGGGUGAAAUUCGUAGAUAUUGGGAAGAACACCGGUGGCGAAGGCGGCGACCUGGUCCUUGACUGACGCUGAGGCGCGAAAGCGUGGGGAGCAAACAGGAUUAGAGACCCCGGUAGUCCCUGUCUCUUAUAC